Non-coding RNA from Heterocephalus glaber (naked mole-rat), 123 nucleotides. Lineage: Eukaryota; Metazoa; Chordata; Mammalia; Rodentia; Bathyergidae. The record is from Rfam.
GUCUUUGGCCAUACCGCCCUAAACGUGCCCGAUCUUGUCUGAUCUCCUAAGCUAAGCAGGGCCGGGGCUGGUUAGUACAUGGAUGGGAGAAGUUCUAGGGAGUAGCAGAUCUGGCUUGUGGUC